GAUGAACGCUAGCGAUAGGCCUAACACAUGCAAGUCGAGGGGCAUCACAUGAAGUAGCAAUACGGAUGGUGGCGACCGGCGCACGGGUGAGUAACACGUAUGCAACCUGCCUUCAACAAGGGGAUAACCCGUUGAAAGACGGACUAAUACCCUAUAACACAGGGGUCCCGCAUGGGGAUAUUUGUUAAAGGACAACCGGUUGAAGAUGGGCAUGCGUUCCAUUAGCUAGUUGGCGGGGUAAGGGCCCACCAAGGCAACGAUGGAUAGGGGAACUGAGAGGUUUAUCCCCCACACUGGUACUGAGACACGGACCAGACUCCUACGGGAGGCAGCAGUGGGGAAUUUUGGACAAUGGGGGCAACCCUGAUCCAGCCAUGCCGCGUGAGUGAAGAAGGCCUUCGGUUGUAAGACUCUUCGGACGGAAGAAAUACGCCGCCUCUAACACAGGCGGUGGAGUGACGGUACCGUAACGGAAGAAGACGACCGGCUAACUACGUGCCAGCAGCCGCGGUAAGUCAC
Molecule: ribosomal RNA, 519 nt
Filed under: uncultured bacterium
Lineage: Bacteria
Description: bacterial SSU rRNA
Rfam family: Bacterial small subunit ribosomal RNA
Source: RNAcentral